Molecule: transfer RNA, 77 nt
Filed under: Halodesulfovibrio aestuarii
Lineage: Bacteria; Pseudomonadati; Thermodesulfobacteriota; Desulfovibrionia; Desulfovibrionales; Desulfovibrionaceae
Also listed under: 3 other names
Description: tRNA_Met_CAT
Rfam family: tRNA
About the family: Transfer RNA (tRNA) molecules are approximately 80 nucleotides in length. Their secondary structure includes four short double-helical elements and three loops (D, anti-codon, and T loops).
Source: RNAcentral
CGCGGGGUGGAGCAGCUCGGUAGCUCGUCGGGCUCAUAACCCGAAGGUCGCAGGUUCAAAUCCUGUCCCCGCUACCA